CUCUAAGAAAGAGUUGCACUGCAUAGACAAGAGCUGUUAUUUUAUGGAAUGAUUGUCUAAAUCUUUUAACCUAAUGUUCAAUUAAAGAUAUAACUUUUGUUUUUAGCUUCAGUGAAAUUGAUCAGUACAAACAAACAUAGUUUUUAGCAUAAAAAGACAAAAUGUUAUUUAAAUCACAAUACAUCUCAAUGAAUUUCUAUAUUUUUAUGAUUUCAGAUUAAAAGUGUUAACCAAUAUUCAACUAAUAAAACACCUUUCUGCUUUUGAAAAAAAAUGGCAUGGCAGGGGGAGUGAGGGCAUGGCAUGCCAUGCUUCUGGGGGAAAAAAUUACCCCCCAAAAGGGCGAAGUCAUUUAGAACCAACAUUCACAUAAAACUUAGGUGUGAUAAAGGUAAAAGCUGAAAAAUCUGACACUUGUAUUCAUAACAAAUCACUGGUUUUUUGAUGUGCCUUUCGAUAAUUAUUCCCACAUAUGGCUAACUGCAACCAGAGUCUCAUUUACUCUUAGUGUUUUGCAAUGAUUCUUUCGAAAAAAUAAAAGCAGUAAAAGUACUGAGUAAAACAGUGAAAGUAAAAAGAAAAGUAAAAAGAGUAAAAGUAAAAUAUUAUAGUGUGUAUUAUUAUAUUCUGUUUCCUCUGGUUUUGCAUUGUGUUGCUGGGAGGGAUUCGCUGCCCUACAGUUAAUGCCACUGUUGUAAGCACAUCUCAUAUGAUAAUAAAGAACAUGAGGAUCUUCCAUGAGUUGCCUGUUGUCACGGUAACAGAAUGUUUACACUUAUACAAACUCACAGAAAUUGCCUGGGCAACCAAAAUGUUUAUAUAGCUACAGAAUUUUGCCAUGCAAUAUUCAUAUUGGCCCCUGUUGAAGAAGGCUCUCACAACUCAUGGUCCUUUUCAUAACAGACCUCCAGCAUGGAUUUUCUCUGUCUACUUUACCCAGUAUUAUCCCUGAAGUACUUUACACCGUUGAUAUGUGUUGUUGGCUUAGUGAUUGCUGCAGCUAGCUCAAUUCUCAUCUGCACGAGACUCCAAGGCACCCAGCACCUUAUCCAAGGGAAACCUGAUGAACACGGUGAUCAGACCAAGGUGCCUGCUCCAGAGAGUGCUGACAAGCCUGCUGAGGACAUCUCUGGGGAAGCCUCUUUGGAUACCUCUGAAGAGCCUGCUCCAGGCAACAUCGAGGGGCCCGCUCUUGGCAUAUUUGAGGAACCCGCUUUGGGCAUCUUCGAGGAGCCAACUCUAGGUAUCUCUGAUGAGCCUGUUCCACGUAUCUGCGAAGACCCCACUCUAGGGAGCCCUGAGGAUCUCCAGACAGCUCCGAGGAGGCCGCUGCUCCCUUGACUGCGCCGAGGAGCCUCCGGAGUGCAAGGAGGAUGCUGCUUGAAGAUGUGUACUUCUUUGUCCUUUAGGUGUAGUUACAUUGUUUCUCUGUGUUCUUAUCCUUUUCAGCCACCCAAACCCCACUCCAAGAAGACUUCUAUGAACAUGCUGACCUGGUAAAAUAUUGUGAAUACUCUAAGCCUGUGUGAAAGUAUGUUACGUUGAAUUUCUUCAUUUUCUUCAUGGUUCUGAAGAUCCUCAAUUAGGCAGAUUUUGCCCAAAGAGACUAGUUCCGGCGCUGCAGAACCUGUUCUGGACUGUACUGUGGAACCUGGCUCCCUCUGCUCCCUACUGUGUUUUAGCGCCAACCUAAUGCCGCACCCCGAAUCGUGCCCCAUACUAGCCCCAGUAGUCGGCCCGCUGGUGAACUUCAGGGCCCAUACAUUUUCUCUCUACAAUUGUGACUGAGCUUUCCCUUUGUAAAAGACAAGAAGUUAAAUUCUUGCCCUGAAUUAAACAAAAAAUAAUAUCAAAACAUUUUAAAUUCAAGGCUGAUUAAUGUACUUGCUGUAAUUCAAAAUAUAUGACAAAACACUUGUUUUAAUGAGUAUAUUUGAAAGAGAAACACUGAUGCGCCAAUCUGCAGCCAGGUUGCACCCCAUUCCCCAGACUGGUGGAUCAUUAAGGGGAAUCAAGCAUCAGAUGCAGCCAGUCUGUUGGUUAAAAAAGACUAUAGAGAGAACUUGGAGGUGAGAGAAGUUUGCAGCUUUCAAUACCGGGUGUAAAGUUAGCGUUCUGUUAUAACGGGGACUUCCUCCUCCUGUGCCCUUAAGGUGGAGUUCCUUCCCCAAGAAUAUCAGGGAGUCUCCCAGUCUGGGCACCUUUAAAUCCAGGCUCAAGAUCCACAUGUUCACAUCGCUUUCUGAUAAUACAUUUAAAUGCUCCAUUUGUCCUUUCAUUUGUUUGACUAAUAUUUUAUCUUCAUAAAAUGUUGCUGCUUUUGUUUCAUUAUUUACAUUUA
Scleropages formosus (Asian bonytongue) is the source of this 2341-nucleotide long non-coding RNA. Lineage: Eukaryota; Metazoa; Chordata; Actinopteri; Osteoglossiformes; Osteoglossidae. The record is from Ensembl.